Molecule: ribosomal RNA, 340 nt
Filed under: uncultured Pseudomonadota bacterium
Lineage: Bacteria; Pseudomonadati; Pseudomonadota
Description: bacterial SSU rRNA
Rfam family: Bacterial small subunit ribosomal RNA
Source: RNAcentral
AACGAACGCUGGCGGCGUGCCUAACACAUGCAAGUCGAGCGCGAAAGUUCCUUCGGGAGCUAGUAGAGCGGCGGACGGGUGAGUAAUACAUAGGUAAUCUACCUUCGAGUUUGGGAUAACCCCGCGAAAGCGGGGCUAAUACCGGAUAAGACCACGUAACUUAUGUUGCGGGGUAAAAGGUGGCUUGUUUUUUAAACGAGCUAUCACUUGAUGAUGAGCCUAUGGCCUAUCAGCUUGUUGGCGGGGUAAGAGCCCACCAAGGCUAUGACGGGUAGCUGGUCUGAGAGGACGAUCAGCCACACUGGGACUGAGACACGGCCCAGACUCCUACGGGUGGCUG